This 250-nucleotide unclassified non-coding RNA is filed under the name Hevea brasiliensis (rubber tree). The record is from RNAcentral. Lineage: Eukaryota; Viridiplantae; Streptophyta; Magnoliopsida; Malpighiales; Euphorbiaceae.
CGCCUAUCUCUCGGCCAGCGAGAUUGCGGCGCAGCUCGCGCGCGGCGCGGUGCACAUGGGAAUUACCGGCGAGGAUCUGAUCCGCGAGAACAUUCACAACGCCGACAAGCGCGUCAUGCUGAUCGAGAGUCUCGGCUUCGGCAGCGCCAAUGUCGUUGUGGCCGUGCCGCAGGCGUGGAUCGACGUUCGCACCAUGGCGGACCUCGACGAUGUCGCGACCUCGUUCCGCGCCCAGCACAAUCACCGCAUG